UACGAAGGGUGCAAACGUUGCUCGGAAUUACUGGGCGUAAAGCGCGUGUAGGCGGUCUCGCAAGUCGGAUGUGAAAGCCCAGGGCUCAACCCUGGAAGUGCACUCGAUACUGCGAGGCUAGAGUCCCGGAGAGGAUGGUGGAACUCUCGGUGUAGAGGUGAAAUUCGUAGAUAUCGAGAAGAACACCGGUGGCGAAGGCGGCCAUCUGGACGGUGACUGACGCUGAGACGCGAAAGCGUGGGGAGCGAACAGG
Molecule: ribosomal RNA, 253 nt
Filed under: uncultured bacterium
Lineage: Bacteria
Description: partial 16S ribosomal RNA
Rfam family: Bacterial small subunit ribosomal RNA
Source: RNAcentral